Molecule: non-coding RNA, 29 nt
Filed under: Mus musculus (house mouse)
Lineage: Eukaryota; Metazoa; Chordata; Mammalia; Rodentia; Muridae
Source: RNAcentral
UUUUCACAUGCUAUGAUACUCAAGUUUCC